GAAAUGCGAUACUUGGUGUGAAUUGCAGAAUCCCGUGAACCAUCGAGUCUUUGAACGCAAGUUGCGCCCGAAGCCAUUAGGCCGAGGGCACGCCUGACCUGGGGUCGCAACGGUUUGUUUCCAAUUGGGAACAACUCAGGGUCCUACGAGCCCACAAUUGCCAUGUACUGCACGACACGAGAUUGCAUUCGAGGCCAAGGCCUUGUCCACCACCAAUUGCCGCACAGUGCAUAACCUGAGGCUCCUUUUUUAGGCCAGCCACGCCCGGUGAGGCGCGGGAAGCCAUCCU
This 289-nucleotide unclassified non-coding RNA is filed under the name uncultured fungus. Its description in RNAcentral is "sequence contains ITS1". The stretch from base 1 to 107 matches the Rfam family "5.8S ribosomal RNA", at positions 50 to 154 of the family's 154-position model. The record is from RNAcentral. Lineage: Eukaryota; Fungi.